RNAcentral lists this small RNA (28 nucleotides) under Bombyx mori (domestic silkworm). Its description in RNAcentral is "ovarian small RNA-28671". The record is from RNAcentral. Lineage: Eukaryota; Metazoa; Arthropoda; Insecta; Lepidoptera; Bombycidae.
UCGCCAUGCAUGCACGUAGACGAGUUGC